AAGGCUGAGUUUUACCGUAAUCCAGCUAUUAGCGGCUGAUUUAUAACACUCGACCAUAACUUAGCCGUCACAUCAUUCCAUAACUAAGCCGUCCAAAAAUAUAACUCGGCCGUGUCGCGGAAAUAAGUCAGCCGUUUUAUCAUAACUCAGCCAUAACGUUGUCUGGGUUAUCGUAUAACUUUUUAUAACUCGACCAACAUUCUUUAACUCAACCAUACCGUUGCCUGGGUUAUAUUACAACUCAGCCGUAACGUCUGGCUGAGUUCUACUCAUACUUCGCCGUUUUGUUAUGACUCAUAGAUUUUUGUCGUAAGUCAGCCGCAAUAUACCGUAACUCAGGCGUAACUGCCGCUGUAUCGCGUUACGGCUGAGUUCAUUUAAUCCACGUCAGCAAAUUUUGACGUGGCAGUGGCAUUCUAUAUAAUUAUGUUUUUUCCAGUAACGUUUAGUAGAGACACGCUGGGUAUUAAAAAAAAAGACAAAAAUAUCAUAAUAAUUAAAAAAAA
RNAcentral lists this small RNA (506 nucleotides) under Arabidopsis thaliana (thale cress). RNAcentral's name for it is "ATSL210480". Lineage: Eukaryota; Viridiplantae; Streptophyta; Magnoliopsida; Brassicales; Brassicaceae. The record is from RNAcentral.